CCUGAACGCUGGCGGCGUGGCUAAGACAUGCAAGUCGAACGGGUGUAGCAAUACACCAGUGGCGGACGGGUCAGUAAUGAAUCGCUAAUGUACCCCGGAGCCAGGGAUAGCUACCCGAAAGGGUAGGUAAUACCUGAUGAGACCACGGCAUCGCAUGAUGCAGUGCUCAAAGCCGCAAGGCACUCUGGGAGCAGGCGAUUUUGUAUCAGCUUGUGGUGAGGUAACGGCUCACCAAGGCGACGACGCAUAGCCGGACUGAGAGGUUGGCCGGCGACAUUGGGACUGAGACACUGCCCAGACUCCUACGGGGGCUGCAGUAACGAAUCUUCCGCAAUGCACGAAAGUGUGACGGAGCGACGCCGCGUGUAGG
This 370-nucleotide ribosomal RNA is filed under the name uncultured bacterium. Its description in RNAcentral is "bacterial SSU rRNA". It matches the Rfam family "Bacterial small subunit ribosomal RNA", at positions 30 to 407 of the family's 1533-position model. The record is from RNAcentral.